GGACAUUGGAUGUUUUAUUUCUUUUUACAUCGAAUUACAAUUCUAAAUAACGUUUAAUAAUUGUAUUUAUUUACAAAAAUGCUAACGGUCAUUUUUAACGUUACCUAUUGAGUAGUUUGACGUUAAACGUGUGACGUUAUACGUUGUUUUUGCACUAGUGAUACUCCAAAAGAAAAUUCCAAGUUCAGAAACCCUAACAUUCCCAAUAUGAACCCUCAUUCCCCACUUCGCAAAACCCAAACCUACAGGUAAGAACAAAAUUGCUAACCACUCGCAAAACAUAGAAGAACCAAGAAUUCUCCAAAUCAAUUUUGAAACAAAAAUUAUGUAUUCCAAUUUACAAAAACCAGAUAACAUAACAAAAACCCCCAAAUCGAAACCCUCAAUCGCGAAUCCUAUUGUUGCGAAACCGCUUGAGAACGAUGGGCUUCUGGCAUCGCGACUUCGUUAAAGAUUGAACCUUCGCGGAGGUGCUAUCGCGACUUUGUCUGGUUCUCGUUUCUGCGAAACUCCGACAAACCCACUAUGGUCAGUUGGACCAUCACAAGCUUCAGUUUUCCUUUGAUGGCACAGGCAUAAGGAAGCCUUUCCCCCUUGCAUUUAGAAACCCUAAUUUUUUGGAUGGGAAAGGGGCUGACACGUGGUAAUCCCUCAUUGGUUGUGUCAUGUUUGAGUCAAGGCAGGUCACUAGUUAAAUGACAUGGCA
RNAcentral lists this long non-coding RNA (706 nucleotides) under Vigna radiata. RNAcentral's name for it is "long non-coding RNA (VRAD_LNC010463)". Lineage: Eukaryota; Viridiplantae; Streptophyta; Magnoliopsida; Fabales; Fabaceae. The record is from RNAcentral.